Callithrix jacchus (white-tufted-ear marmoset) is the source of this 765-nucleotide non-coding RNA. The record is from RefSeq and is a predicted model, not a curated record. Lineage: Eukaryota; Metazoa; Chordata; Mammalia; Primates; Cebidae.
AUGCCUGGAGCCAAGCAGAGGAAGGAGGGGGUGGCUUUGGAGCAUCCGUGCCCUGAGAGGAGGAGAGUUCUGGAAGCUGUGCGUUUGGCAUUGCUGGGUAGUGUGGACGGGCAGGCUGGAGCUAGGUAGCUAAGCAGCUUGGUAAACGGAGCUACUGAGGAUUCCAAACAGGAACUCUGCAGUCCUCUCCACCAUUUAUGGAUUGAACCACACGAAAUUGCCAAUAUUCGGCCAUUUGGAGCCAAGACAAAUGUCAGCUUUGUGGGGUGUAGCCUCACAGAAGGCUGCUUGGGGGUCUUUGCAGAUGGUGGAUGAGCAGAGGGCAUACUCUGGAGCCUACUGGGGACCCAGCCCUGAGGCCACCAGGCCAAUGGUGUCCAGACUCUGGUGUGGGCUGGGAGAAAGGGGAGGUUCAGGAAACCCGGAGGUGGUAAAGUGGCAGAGCUGGGGCUGGGGGCGCGGGUGCAGCAGAGGAGGUGCACUGAGGCUGAGGUCCAGGGUUAGGGACAUGUGGACCGUGUGAGUUCAGCCAGGUCUAUGUGCGCCUUGUCUGAGCUACAAUUUCCAAGUUACCUGUGACCGUGGAUAACUCCCAGGUCAGCAACUUGUCAGUUGAUUUCCAAGCUGCUGUUUGACAGACUCUGGCUCUGUAGGGAGCACCUGGUUGUCCAGACCUGGGUGUUCAGCACAGUUCCCUCCAAGAAGUUUAGAGUGACGUUUUCAGAGGGCAGGACCCUAGUAUUUAGGAAGCCUCGGAGAGCCUGA